RNAcentral lists this long non-coding RNA (3225 nucleotides) under Hordeum vulgare. Its description in RNAcentral is "long non-coding RNA (HVUL_LNC014830)". The record is from RNAcentral. Lineage: Eukaryota; Viridiplantae; Streptophyta; Magnoliopsida; Poales; Poaceae.
UACUCUCACGAGGGAUUUCUCCAGUCUGCAUGUCUUCAGUGUCAUUUAUCUCUUCUGCUGGGACAUUAACCGCUGAUAUACUAUCUUCCGCUUCAACAGGUUCAGUAUUCUUGAUCUCUUCUAGUGCUGUUUCCUGUGUUGUUGGUAUAUCGACUUGUACAUCAGGAGCUAUCUUGUCCGCAAGACCAACAUCUUCAGUGAGCUCGCUGAUGUUUGCAUCAGUGCUCUUCUUGACUGCUUCAAUUUCCAUGGUUCCAGUGCCCUUCACUUCUUCUGCUGGUAGGUCAGGUGCUGAUUUGUUUUCUUCCAUCUCAACAGGUUCAGCAUUCUCGAGCUCUUGUAGUUCUGACACUUGUGCUUCUGGUAUAUCAUCUGUUGCCUCAGCUGCCAUUACAUGUUCUUCAGGAGCUGCCUCAUCUGCAUGAGCAACAUUGCCUCUUACAUCCUCGGUGAGCUCACUGAUGUUUACAUCAGCGAUCUCGUUGAUUGCUUCAGUUUUCUUGGCUUCAGUCUCCUUCACCUCUUCUGCCGACAGCUCAUUUGCUGAUAUGUUUUCUUCCACUUCAAUAGGUUCAGUAUUCUUGAUUUCUUCUAGGUCUAGCUCUUGUGCUCGUGGGAUAUCAACUGGUGCCUCAGUUGCUAUUACAUGCUCUUCAGGAGCAGCCUCAUCUGCAGGAGCAACAUUGCUUGUCACAUCCUCAGUGAGUUCGCUGAUGUUUGCAUCAGGGCUCUUGUUGAUUGCUUCAGUUUCCUUCACCACUUCUGCUUGCAGGCCACUUGCUGAUCUAUUUUCUUCCACCUCAACUGGUUCAACACUCUUGAUCUCUUCUAGUUCCGGCUCCUGUGCCUGUGGUAUAUCAAAUGUUGUCUCAGCUACUGUUACAUGCUCUGCAUGAGGUUCCUCGUCUGCAGGCACAACGUUGCUUUUCACAUCCUCAUUGAGCUCACUGAUGUUUGCAUCAGUCCUUUUGCUGAUUGCUUCAGUUUCCUUCACCUCUUCUUCUGGCAGGUCACCUGCUUCAGUAUUCUUGAUCUCUUCUAGCUCUGGCUCUUGUGCAUGUGGUAUAUCGACUGUUGUCUCAGCUACUGUUACAUGUUCUUUAUGAGCUGCCUCAUCUGUAAGAGCAAUGUUGCAUUUCAUAUCUUCAGUAAGCUCACUGAUGUUUGCAUCAGUGCUCUCAUUGAUUGCUUCAGUGUCCUUCACCUCUUCUGCCGGUAUGUCACUCGCUGAUGUGUUUUCUUCCACCUCAACAGGUUCAGUAUUCUCGAUCUCUUCUAGUUCUGGUUCUUGUGCUCGUGGAAUAUUAACUGUUCCCUCAGUUGCUAUUAUAUGCUCUUCAUGAGCUGCCUCGUCUGCAGGAUUGACACUGCUUGUCACAUCCUCAAUGAGCUCGCUGAUGUUUGCAUCAAUGCUCUCGUUGAUUGCUUCAGUUUCCUUCACCUCUUCUGCUGGCAAGUUACCUGCUGAUCUGUUCUCCUCCACCUCAACAGGUUCAACAUUCUCAAGAUCCUUUAGUUCCGGCGCUUGUGCUUGUGGUAUAUCAACCGUUGCCUCAGCUGCUAUUACAUGUUCUUCAGGAGCUGCCUCUUCUGCAGGAGUAACAUUGCUUUUCAUAUCCUCAGUGAGCUCACUAAUGCUUGCAUCAGUGCUCUCAUUGAUUGCUUCAGUGUCCUUCACCUUUUCUGCUGGCAGGUCACUUGCUGGUAUGUUUUCUUCCACCUUAACAGGUCUAGUAUUCUGGAUCUCUUCUACUUCUGGCUCUUGUGCUUGUGGUAUAUCGACUGUAUUAUCAGCUACCGUUACAUGUUCUUCAGGAGCUGCCUCGUCUGCAAGAGCAACAUUGCUUUUCACAUCUUCAGUAAGCUCAUUGUUGUUUGCAUCAGUGCUCUCGUUGAUUGCUUCAGUCUCCACGGCUUCACUAUCUUUCACCUCUUCUGCUGGCAGAUCAUUUUCUGAUACAUAUGCUUCCACUUCAGCAGGUUCAGUGUUCUUGGUCUCUUCUAGUUCUGGCUCUUGUGUUCGUGGUAUAUCAACUGUUGCGGCAGUUGCUAUUACAUGUUCUUCAGGAGCUGCCUCGUCUGCACACACGAGAUUGCUUUUCACAUCCUCAGUAAGCUUACUGAUGUUUGCAUCAAUGCUCUCGUUGAAUGCUUCAGUUUCCUUGGCUUCAGUGUCCUUCAUCUCUUCUGCCGGCAUGUCACUAGCUGAUAUGUUUUCUUUCACUUCAACAGGUUCAAUAUUCUUGAUCUCUUCUAGUUCCGGCUCUUGUGCUUGUGCUAUAUCAACUGUUGCCUCAGUUGCUAUUACAUGUUCUUCAGGAGCAGCCUCGUCUGCAAGAGCAACGUUACUUUCCACAUCCUCAGCGAUCUCACUGAAGUUUGCAUCAGUGCUCCCAUUGGUUGCUUCAGUUUCCUUGGCUUCAUUGCCGUUCACCUCUUCUGCCGGCAGGUCACUCGCUGAUAUGUUUUCUUCCACCUCAACAGGUUCAGUAUUCUUGAUCUCUUCUACUUCUGGCUCUUGUGCAUGUGGUAUAUCAACUGUAUCAUCAGCUACUGUUACAUGUUCUUCAGGAGCUGCUUCGUCUGCAAGAGCAACAAUGUUUUUCACAUCUUCAGUGAGCUCACUGUUGUUUGUGUUAGUGCUCUCGUUGAUUGUUUCAGUCUCCAUGGCUUCAGUAUCCUUCACCUCUUCUGCUGGCAGAUCAUUUGCUGAUAUGUUUUCUGCCACUUCAGCAGGUUCAGUAUUCUUGGUCUCUUCUAGUUCUGGCUCUUGUGCUUCUGGUAUAUCAACUGUUGCCUCAGGUGCCAUUACAUGCUCUUCAGGAGCUACCUCCUCUGUAAGGGCAACAUUGUUUUGCACAUCUUCAAUGAGAUCGCUAAUGUUUGCGUCACUGCUCUCAUUGUUUGCUUCAGUUUCCCCCAUCUCUUCUGCAGGCAGGUCGCUUGCUGAUCUAGUUUCUUCCACCUCAACAGGUUCAGUAUUCUUGACCUCUUCUAGUUUCGGCUCUUGUGCUUGUGGUACAUCAACUGUUCUCUCAGCUACUGUUACAUGUUCAUCAUGAGCUGCCUCGUCUGUAAGAGAAACAUUGCUUUGCACAUCUUCAGUGAGCUCACUGUUGUUUGCAUCAGUGCUGUCGUUGAUUGCUUCUGUUUCCACGGUGUCAGUAUCCUUCACAUUUUUCGCUGGCAGAUCACUUGCUGAUGUGUUCCCUUCCACUUCAGCAG